RNAcentral lists this ribosomal RNA (324 nucleotides) under Gobionellus oceanicus (highfin goby). Its description in RNAcentral is "partial large subunit ribosomal RNA". It matches the Rfam family "Bacterial large subunit ribosomal RNA", at positions 605 to 1045 of the family's 2925-position model. The record is from RNAcentral. Lineage: Eukaryota; Metazoa; Chordata; Actinopteri; Gobiiformes; Gobiidae.
CUUUUGCAUCAUGAUUUAGCUAGAAACAUUCAAGCAAAGCGAACUUUAGUUUAACCCCCCGAAACUUGGCGAGUUACUCCAGGACAGCCCAUUAAGGGGCCAACCCGUCUCUGUUGCAAAAGAGUGGGAAGAUCCUCGAGUAGAGGUGAUAGACCUACCGAGCCAAGUUAUAGCUGGUUGCCUACAAAAUGAAUAGAAGUUCAGCCUCUUUAAUUAUUUUUUCUCAAGGCAAGGCCUAACAAGGAUAUUAAGAAUCUAAGAGAGUUAUUCUAAGGGGGAACAGCCCCUUUGAACAAAGACAAAACUUUAAUAGCCGGCUAAAGA